Molecule: ribosomal RNA, 303 nt
Filed under: uncultured bacterium
Lineage: Bacteria
Description: partial 16S ribosomal RNA
Rfam family: Bacterial small subunit ribosomal RNA
Source: RNAcentral
AGCAGUAGCCGCGGGAAUACGAAGGGUGCAAGCGUUAAUCGGAAUUACUGGGCGUAAAGCGCACGCAGGCGGUUUGUUAAGUCAGAUGUGAAAUCCCCGGGCUCAACCUGGGAAUGGCAAUGGAUACUGGCAAGCUAGAGUGUGUCAGAGGAUGGUGGAAUUCCCGGUGUAGCGGUGAAAUGCGUAGAGAUCGGGAGGAACAUCAGUGGCGAAGGCGGCCAUCUGGGACAACACUGACGCUGAGGCACGAAAGCGUGGGGAGCAAACAGGAUUAGAUACCCCGGUAGUCCCUGUCUCUUAUAC